This is a long non-coding RNA of Carassius gibelio (silver crucian carp), 978 nucleotides long. RefSeq lists it as uncharacterized. The transcript is spliced from 5 exons. NCBI's taxonomy places the organism in Eukaryota, Metazoa, Chordata, Actinopteri, Cypriniformes, Cyprinidae. The record is from RefSeq and is a predicted model, not a curated record.
AGAAGGGUUAAAACGAAGCCUGGAAUGGCUGGAGGAAUGUGGUGUAAGGCUAGACUGCAUUGUGACAGACAGACAUCUCCAGAUUCAAAAGUUUCUGAAAGAAAGAAAUGUCACACAGUACUAUGAUGUCUGGCAUUUGGAGAAAGGGUUGUCAAAGAAGUUAGAGCAAAUUGCCAGAGACAAGGACUGUUCAAUAGUGAAAAAGUGGCAGCACAGCAUAAGAAACCAUCUCUACUGGACUGCAGCAUCCUCUACAUCAGGACUAGAGAAGGUUCAAAACCACUUUACAGAGUCGAAAAGGUGCUUAUUAACAACAGAGUCCUCAAAGAUGUAGCAAAGCUCAGCCCUCACUUCCAGACCUCAUCCUUGGAGGCCUUUCACAGUGUUAUUUUACACUUUGCCCCCAAAAGUGUGGUAUUUCCUUUUAUUGGAAUGCUGUGCAGGUUGUAUUUGGCUGGCAUGCAUUUCAAUGAAAAUUCAAACCGUCCAAAGGCUACUAUACCAUCUGGAAAGCCAAUGUACAGACUUUUGUUCCCCAAGGCUAAAAAAGGAUUGUACACCAUAAAACCAGUGACAUCCAACCCAACGUACUGCUACGUCUACAAUCUGAUGACACUGCUUUUUGAAAAGGUUCUGCCAGAUCCUUUUCCCUACAUGGAGGAACUGCAAAAAAUUAAAGUGCCUGACAGUCUAUGCACACAGUAUGACAGACCUUCAUUGGAGGAGGCCAUUGCUGAGCACGUAUCAAGGUUUAGUCAAGGGGCAGUUUGAAUCCGACAUAGCUGCCUUACGCAUCUGGGAAUUUUUGCCGUAUACACAAGACAACACAUGAUGGUAUUACAACCCUGAUCUUUCUGCCUAGAUAGCCCCAGCACCAACUGACAAAGCUUAUGUAAGCCAAAUGCCUGUAGCGCCUGAUGGAAACAGAGAAAAGACAUUUCAAAUUAUACAUUCGGGGGGCAAAAGAUUGAAUAAUUU